UUGGCAGAUGAGUAACACCGAGUGGUUWCUAAGCAGUGCCGAGUGCUAUUUGUCCUAGUCUACCUCAGCAGCUUAAUGUGUUUACUUAUUCAUCUGCAUCUGUUAGGGUGUAGCCAAUGUCAGGAGUGGGUAAUUUUCCCARUAGAGGCAAGGUUUUGGGGCUUGUCUUACAAAACCAUCCAGACCUGGAGGWUAUUACUGUGAUUAAACUAAUUGAUUUCAAUAGGUGCUAAUCAUGCAGGCUCUGGCAAUGCAYGAUGAUGAAAAACUUCAGCGUGCCCUGUCCCUUGGACAACAAAUGGGUAUCACACUUCACCCAAAUUCUCCUAUCAAAAUGAGAUUUUUUGCAUCACAAUUUGGAUAUGUGUUUGGUUUUCCUGUAGCUGUACCCAUGCUGGGUGGAUUCACUUUACCAGCCUCAGUUUCCCACUAGGGAAUACCCUGURGAUAAUUUAAGUUCUCAUGGGUGUAAGGAGAUGUUACAAUUUAACGCCUAUUACAGGAUCUGAUUAAGCAAAUGGAAAUGACCUAACAAGUUGUCCCACAUGUCUGCUUAAACACUUAGUGCAGUGGUAGCAUUUACCGYGCCCUGACUCGUAGGUCUGGCUGGGGAGGUGGUGGUUUGCUGUUUCGUGCUUGGUCUUUCAUUGAGGUGGGUCUGAAAGCAGACAGAUUCCACUCCUCCCUUCUUCGUGCCACCAGCAAGGAGUGRGUGAGCAAAGGAUGUGACAAGGAGCACCAUGGAUGGACUGUCAGCAAGGAACCUGGAAAGGUUUGCUUUUUUCUACUGAGAUGGGGUGACCUGAACUCUGCCAAUCCUUCUCUCUGUUCAAGGUGAUUAAUUCUCUGUGGCUUCCAAGAGAGGCUGCCAAAGUUGGACAGAAACCUGCUAAAGGUGCUAGAAUACUCCAAACGUGGAAACUGGAUGAGAAGACAGAAGUUUGCUUCAAAAAAAUGAAGCCUUUACAGAGCACUUGUGGGGAGGGGAAUGAGAUACUGGAAAACCUACAUCAAGUUUCUGCCAUGAUUUGUUUUUAUUUUUGAAAAGUGCAAUUUCUCAGUGAGAAAUUUGUGACUCCCCUUCUUUUGAACAAAUCAACUAGGCAGAUUUCCAGGAAGGUAUAACCCACCACAGCACAAAGUUGGAGGACUACAGAAAAAAUUAUCCCGAAGUCCUGAGCAGGUUGUGGGGACAUAGAAUUUGYAUUUGGGGUGAAACACAUCUGAGAYAGCCUCRGUGGGAACAUGGGACCUCAGCAUUGUCCUCAUUGCAAGGAAGUGCAGUAUGAGUAGUUAUCACAGUGGGUGGAAUAAAGGUAUUGUCCACAGCACGCCAGUUCCCUGAUCUUUUUGCACUCACUUCACAAUGAAGUGAAGCUCCAGGUAUGUGCAUUUAUUGUAAUUUUUAUUAACUAUUAUUGCUAUUGCUAUUAUUAUUCAUGUACCUGUGCUCUGAAAUGACUGCA
Long non-coding RNA from Malurus melanocephalus (red-backed fairy wren), 1466 nucleotides. RefSeq lists it as uncharacterized. Lineage: Eukaryota; Metazoa; Chordata; Aves; Passeriformes; Maluridae. The transcript is spliced from 5 exons. The record is from RefSeq and is a predicted model, not a curated record.